This 64-nucleotide transfer RNA is filed under the name Phaolus metallicus. RNAcentral describes it as "tRNA-His". Lineage: Eukaryota; Metazoa; Arthropoda; Insecta; Coleoptera; Cerambycidae. The record is from RNAcentral.
AUUCUAAUAGUUUAAAAAAAAAUUUUGAUUUGUGGGAUCAGGGAUGUAAGCUUUACUUAGGAUA